This 364-nucleotide long non-coding RNA is filed under the name Apteryx rowi (Okarito brown kiwi). Its description in RNAcentral is "lncRNA (ENSARWG00000002819.1)". Lineage: Eukaryota; Metazoa; Chordata; Aves; Apterygiformes; Apterygidae. The record is from RNAcentral.
GGGAGCGGGAGCGGGCCCCAUGCCCGGGCGGGGGGCGUCGCGCCCGCUCCCCCUCGUGUGGGCCCCGCCGUGGGAGCCGCAGGCGGGGCGUUACGGGCCAGGCGGGCUGGCGUCGGGAGGUGACGGCGCGGAGGGCUCUUUUUCCGCUUGGGAGGUUGYGCGUGCGGGUCGAAGUCCUGCAUAUUGCGCUUGCACAAGUGACACCAGCCCUGUAGCGGUGGUGGGGGUUUGGGCCUCGAACAUACCCCUUUUGUGGGUCCUGCAGCCCCAUAUCUUGAUCCUGACAGACAUGUUGCAUCGUUCCACAACCCUUCCUGCAUGUGAAUCAGAUAUUGUGUGCAGACCUGGAUGGCAUGUAAAAUAG